Molecule: ribosomal RNA, 249 nt
Filed under: uncultured Anaerolineaceae bacterium
Lineage: Bacteria; Bacillati; Chloroflexota; Anaerolineae; Anaerolineales; Anaerolineaceae
Description: partial 16S ribosomal RNA
Rfam family: Bacterial small subunit ribosomal RNA
Source: RNAcentral
UAGUGUCACACAGGACUGCUGGUAUUAAGCCGGAGGAAGGUGGGACGACGUCAAGUCAGCAUGACCUUUAUAUCCAGGGCUACACACACGCUACAAUGGUCAGUACAAUGGGUUGCCAAGCCGCGAGGCGGAGCCAAUCCUAAAAAGCUGGCCUCAGUUCAGAUUGCAGUCUGAAACUCGACUGCAUGAAGUCGGAGUUGCUAGUAAACGCAGGUCAGCUAUACUGCGUUGAAUACGUUCCCGGGGCUU